GGAUUAGAUACCCUGGUAGUCCACGCCGUAAACGAUGGUCACUAGCUGUUCGGACUUCGGUCUGAGUGGCUAAGCGAAAGUGAUAAGUGACCCACCUGGGGAGUACGUUCGCAAGAAUGAAACUCAAAGGAAUUGACGGGGGCCCGCACAAGCGGUGGAGCAUGUGGUUUAAUUCGAUGAUACGCGAGGAACCUUACCAGGGCUUAAAUGUAAGUUGCAUUAGCUAGAGAUAGCUAUUUCUUCGGACUACUUACAAGGUGCUGCAUGGUUGUCGUCAGCUCGUGCCG
Molecule: ribosomal RNA, 287 nt
Filed under: uncultured bacterium
Lineage: Bacteria
Description: partial 16S ribosomal RNA
Rfam family: Bacterial small subunit ribosomal RNA
Source: RNAcentral